GAAUUAUUUUCAGGCAAUAUCUCAUCCGAUGCGAGACUCAUCAAAAAUUGAAGCUCUUGUGAAAGAGGGUAAAGACCUGAUACCAAAACUAGAAGAAAUCACAGAGAGUUCCAAAGACAGCCAAGGCUUUCUCUCUUAGAUAUCUGCUUGAAAAAGAAAGUUUUAUUGGCUGCAAAAGAAGCUAGAUUGCUAUGCACAAAAGAAGCUCAUCCGCCUACAGCCGAAAUACUUCCUCUUCCUAUCUUAAGAGACCAAGAUGAAGUUACAAGAAGAAAUUGACGAGUUCUCAGACUCUUACUACUUGGAUCUCAAUCUUGAAGACAUCAAACAGGUAUAUUACAUUAACUAUGUACAUAUUUGUGAUCUUGUGGAUCCUUGCCAGCUUAAUUCCCAAUAGGAGAUGUUUCUAGAUAGGUAUCAUGUGCAUUA
Vicia villosa (hairy vetch) is the source of this 429-nucleotide long non-coding RNA. RefSeq lists it as uncharacterized. Lineage: Eukaryota; Viridiplantae; Streptophyta; Magnoliopsida; Fabales; Fabaceae. The transcript has 3 exons. The record is from RefSeq and is a predicted model, not a curated record.